GGCGUAGGCUUUUGUGUAAGUCAGAUGUGAAAUUCCGGGGCUCAACCUCGGAGCUGCAUAUGAAACUGCACGAAUAGAGGAUAGGCGGAGAAAAUGGAAUUCCACAUGUAGCGGUGAAAUGCGUAGAUAUGUGGAGGAACACCGGUGGCGAAGGCGGUUUUCUAGCCUAUAACUGACGCUGAGGCCCGAAAGCAAGGGGAGCAAACAGGAUUAGAUACCCUGGUAGUCC
Molecule: ribosomal RNA, 229 nt
Filed under: uncultured bacterium
Lineage: Bacteria
Description: partial 16S ribosomal RNA
Rfam family: Bacterial small subunit ribosomal RNA
Source: RNAcentral